RNAcentral lists this ribosomal RNA (457 nucleotides) under uncultured bacterium. Its description in RNAcentral is "bacterial SSU rRNA". It matches the Rfam family "Bacterial small subunit ribosomal RNA", at positions 28 to 493 of the family's 1533-position model. The record is from RNAcentral.
GAUGAACGCUGGCGGCGUGCUUAACACAUGCAAGUCGAACGAAGCACUUCAUAAAGCUUGCUUUAAGAAGUGACUUAGUGGCGGACGGGUGAGUAACGCGUGGGUAACCUGCCUUACACAGGGGGAUAACAGUUAGAAAUGACUGCUAAUACCGCAUAAAACAGCAGAGUCGCAUGACUCAACUGUCAAAGAUUUAUCGGUGUAAGAUGGACCCGCGUCUGAUUAGCUUGUUGGUGGGGUAACGGCCUACCAAGGCGACGAUCAGUAGCCGGCCUGAGAGGGUGAACGGCCACAUUGGGACUGAGACACGGCCCAAACUCCUACGGGAGGCAGCAGUGGGGAAUAUUGGACAAUGGGCGAAAGCCUGAUCCAGCGACGCCGCGUGAGCGAUGAAGUAUUUCGGUAUGUAAAGCUCUAUCAGCAGGGAAGAAAACGACGGUACCUGACUAAGAAGCCC